AAAUGUUUCCACGUUAUUUAAUAUUUUGUUUAGUUAAGUUCCAUUUGAUUUUGAUGUAAGUAUUCAACAUAAUAAGUGUGUAAUAUCAUAUUUAUCAAUUACCACUAAUUAAACUUUGAAUGACAAUGAAAUUAGGUGAAAAACAGGUAUGGCCGCUUGCCCCUGUUACAAUCUUCAACGGUCGGAAAAGUAGCUAUGUGGAUAUGUAUGGAAAUUUAAAGGUAUUAUUGUUUGAACGAAAAGUGAAAUACCAUUUCCUGAAUUUUGAAAUUGCCCAAAAAUUCUACCAACGCGCCGCAUACAUGUAAUUUCUCGAGUGAGUGAAUAUGCAUAUUAUAGGUAGAUACACGAAAGUAUAUAAGUAAUAAUUAUUAUGUAAAAACUAUGUAGUGGGCGGAGAGCCGUGUAGUCCUCCUAUUUAUCAAGAAUCAGGAGCACGUGGUGCGUGCGCAUGGCAUACAUUGCAACAACGUGUUCUCUAACAGAGUGGGGAUUGCAUCUGUCAGUUGUAACUUGGUUAUCGUGGGGUGAGUGGGAAAUGCCCGUCUCUUGAUUUCGCGAUUCUCUUAGGACUACGCAAAACUAAAGUACUAAAUGGUGUGAAAAAAAGUUACAAACAUGGAUAAUUCGGCAUUUGUUCCGAACACGGGUCACAUGAAUUCCCCCGCUUUAGUUGUCUUCUCCCAAGCAACUGGAGGACUUACCGACGGAUUACGCCUGCAACGUCCUUUUAAUACACAGUUUCAGAUGGGGGAUGCCUCUAAAGAGCUGCACCGACCGUUUACUACAACAACUUUUGGCUUAAGGAACAUAGAAGCCUACGGGGGCCUUCCAGCUCAUAUUCUUAACCACCUUCAGCCGCAGUUUUUACAUCCCGGUUUAACUCUCGGUUCUAGUGCUUUUCGUCCUUUAUCCGAUUUGAAAGCUUUCCCGUCUCCUUCAGCUUUUGCACCCCCGAAGUGCUUAAAAAUAGAAACUAGUGGUGAACACGCGUCCGGUAACCAUGGCUUCUUCUCUCCUUCGGAGGAGAGAUACUUAGGUCCUAGUCCGAGAAUGGAUUCGUGUUCCCCAGCGAGCGCUUCCAUGUCUCCACAGCCACACGUAUCAUUGGGCAGUGUUAAAGAAGAAAGUUUGGACGCGCAGAUAUCUGAGGAUGGAGAAACUCAUCCGCAAAAUGCCGAUAGUGACUCACCAGGAAUACAUGAAGAGAAUAGAGGUUUUCGUAUAGGUCCUCUACUUGCCAGCAGCUUUGUAAGCGGAGCGUACACCCUCUCAGUUCCUGGUAUGCCUCCGACAGCCCACUCUGGCUCCAAGACAAGUCUCCUAUUCGAUAAUGGUCUUUCAGGUAAGAGACGAAAAGAUCCAUCCAGUUGUCCAGUUUGUGGAAUGUCUAUAUCACCGGGCGAUUUAGAAACUCAUUUCAUGAGAGAACUGGAUAGACUUUAUAAAUUAAAUGGUUCAGGAAGUAUUAAUCUGAGAACAAGAAGAAAUGAACCUUCUCGACCUCCUGCUCUACCUGGUGAUAGUGGACCGGAAGGGCGGUGGGAGACAUUUCAACGAAUUAAAACAAAUCGACAAGGAAGGCUCAAACUGAAAAUCAGAAAACGAAAAGCUGAUGAUGGAUGUCCGGUCUGUAUGAGUCACAUUCAUAAAGAUGAAAUUUGUUUAAGAAAAGGCACAUCUAAUGAUGAAGAUGAAACUGUUGAUGUGGAAGGUUAUUCUGAAUUAGAAGAUUGGAAUGAAGUGAGAAAGCGUAACUCGACUUCUGUUAGUGGUAAAAAAAGAAAUUUUACAUCCAUGGCAUUAUUUCUUGACCACCAUUUUUCCACAGCCGACCGAAGCAGUCGCAUGAGUGUUGAAACAGAAACAGAAGACCUUAUUGUAGAUGGUGAUGAACCUGAAGAAUCUACGUUUGGUCCUAAGCAAUAUUCAGAAUCGGAUCUUUCGGAUAAAGCAGAAGAAAAAUCAAAACAGAAAGAAGGGACGCAAUCUCAAGUAGCUACAGUUAAUUCUAGUGGAGAUGUGGAAGUUAAAGUAGAGAGUGGCGGACAGCAGUGUGAUAGUAAUGUUAGCACAUCUGAUGCGGAACCUAGCAGCAGGCUUCAAAUGAUCGAAGAAUUGAGGAGUAGGAUAAGGCAACUGGAAGCUGAAGUAACCACGGAAACUGCCACUAGUACAGAUAUUGAAGAAUACAAGUGUCUAAUCUGUUUGUCUCUAAAAUGCUUUCAAACUACACACAACUGGUACUAAUCGUAAAUUUCAUGUCCCUCUUUAAGGAACAUUACAAAAAGCCAGUCAUUUCAACUGUUUGUUGGCAUGUUCAUUGUGAAGAAUGUUGGCUGCACACACUCGGAAGCAAGAAAGUUUGUCCUCAGU
This 2376-nucleotide unclassified non-coding RNA is filed under the name Agrilus planipennis (emerald ash borer). Its description in RNAcentral is "e3 ubiquitin-protein ligase Rnf220-like, transcript variant X6". Lineage: Eukaryota; Metazoa; Arthropoda; Insecta; Coleoptera; Buprestidae. The record is from RNAcentral.